GGAGGUGCUUGCACCUCGCCGGCGAGCGGCGGACGGGUGAGUAAUGCAUAGGAAUCUGCCCGGUAGUGGGGGAUAACCUGGGGAAACCCAGGCUAAUACCGCAUACGUCCUACGGGAGAAAGCAGGGGAUCUUCGGACCUUGCGCUAUCGGAUGAGCCUAUGCCGGAUUAGCUAGUUGGUAGGGUAAUGGCCUACCAAGGCAACGAUCCGUAGCUGGUCUGAGAGGAUGAUCAGCCACACUGGGACUGAGACACGGCCCAGACUCCUACGGGAGGCAGCAGUGGGGAAUAUUGGACAAUGGGCGCAAGCCUGAUCCAGCCAUGCCGCGUGUGUGAAGAAGGCUUUCGGGUUGUAAAGCACUUUCAGUGGGGAAGAAAGCCUGUCGGUUAAUACCCGGCAGGGACGACAUCACCCACAGAAGAAGCACCGGCUAACUCCGUGCCAGCAGCCGCGGUAAUACGGAGGGUGCGAGCGUUAAUCGGAAUUACUGGGCGUAAAGCGCGCGUAGGCGGCGUGAUAAGCCGGUUGUGAAAGCCCCGGGCUCAACCUGGGAACGGCAUCCGGAACUGUCAUGCUAGAGUGCAGGAGAGGAAGGUAGAAUUCCCGGUGUAGCGGUGAAAUGCGUAGAGAUCGGGAGGAAUACCAGUGGCGAAGGCGGCCUUCUGGACUGACACUGACGCUGAGGUGCGAAAGCGUGGGUAGCAAACAGGAUUAGAUACCCUGGUAGUCCACGCCGUAAACGAUGUCGACUAGCCGUUGGGAGCCUCGAGUUCUUAGUGGCGCAGUUAACGCGAUAAGUCGACCGCC
This 807-nucleotide ribosomal RNA is filed under the name Halomonas sp. NH37. Its description in RNAcentral is "bacterial SSU rRNA". It matches the Rfam family "Bacterial small subunit ribosomal RNA", at positions 72 to 873 of the family's 1533-position model. The record is from RNAcentral. Lineage: Bacteria; Pseudomonadati; Pseudomonadota; Gammaproteobacteria; Oceanospirillales; Halomonadaceae.